GGUGUCGUCUACUUUGGGCAUAGUAUGCACGACAGGAGGUGGGACGGCAAAGACCGGGCUAGAUGCCGGCAGAGAAGCAAAGGUGGGUGUAGGACCCUCAAGCAUGAAGUUGGGAGGCAUCCCCCAAGGAAACCCGACUGGCAUAGCAGUUGGUGCAAAGUGGGCGCUGGCUGCAGGCACGGUUGAAGAGGCAAUCUCAGAGAUA
Molecule: long non-coding RNA, 205 nt
Filed under: Lathyrus oleraceus (garden pea)
Lineage: Eukaryota; Viridiplantae; Streptophyta; Magnoliopsida; Fabales; Fabaceae
Description: Pisum sativum (pea) long non-coding RNA (PSAT_LNC006527)
Source: RNAcentral